RNAcentral lists this ribosomal RNA (1212 nucleotides) under Escherichia coli. RNAcentral describes it as "partial 23S ribosomal RNA". It matches the Rfam family "Bacterial large subunit ribosomal RNA", at positions 1 to 1254 of the family's 2925-position model. Lineage: Bacteria; Pseudomonadati; Pseudomonadota; Gammaproteobacteria; Enterobacterales; Enterobacteriaceae. The record is from RNAcentral.
GGUUAAGCGACUAAGCGUACACGGUGGAUGCCCUGGCAGUCAGAGGCGAUGAAGGACGUGCUAAUCUGCGAUAAGCGUCGGUGAGGUGAUAUGAACCGUUAUAACCGGCGAUUUCCGAAUGGGGAAACCCAGUGUGUUUCGACACACUAUCAUUAACUGAAUCCAUAGGUUAAUGAGGCGAACCGGGGGAACUGAAACAUCUAAGUACCCCGAGGAAAAGAAAUCAACCGAGAUUCCCCCAGUAGCGGCGAGCGAACGGGGAGGAGCCCAGAGCCUGAAUCAGUGUGUGUGUUAGUGGAAGCGUCUGGAAAGGCGUGCGAUACAGGGUGACAGCCCCGUACACAAAAAUGCACAUAUUGUGAGCUCGAUGAGUAGGGCGGGACACGUGGUAUCCUGUCUGAAUAUGGGGGGACCAUCCUCCAAGGCUAAAUACUCCUGACUGACCGAUAGUGAACCAGUACCGUGAGGGAAAGGCGAAAAGAACCCCGGCGAGGGGAGUGAAAAAGAACCUGAAACCGUGUACGUACAAGCAGUGGGAGCCUCUUAAUGGGGUGACUGCGUACCUUUUGUAUAAUGGGUCAGCGACUUAUAUUCUGUAGCAAGGUUAACCGAAUAGGGGAGCCGAAGGGAAACCGAGUCUUAACUGGGCGUUAAGUUGCAGGGUAUAGACCCGAAACCCGGUGAUCUAGCCAUGGGCAGGUUGAAGGUUGGGUAACACUAACUGGAGGACCGAACCGACUAAUGUUGAAAAAUUAGCGGAUGACUUGUGGCUGGGGGUGAAAGGCCAAUCAAACCGGGAGAUAGCUGGUUCUCCCCGAAAGCUAUUUAGGUAGCGCCUCGUGAAUUCAUCUCCGGGGGUAGAGCACUGUUUCGGCAAGGGGGUCAUCCCGACUUACCAACCCGAUGCAAACUGCGAAUACCGGAGAAUGUUAUCACGGGAGACACACGGCGGGUGCUAACGUCCGUCGUGAAGAGGGAAACAACCCAGACCGCCAGCUAAGGUCCCAAAGUCAUGGUUAAGUGGGAAACGAUGUGGGAAGGCCCAGACAGCCAGGAUGUUGGCUUAGAAGCAGCCAUCAUUUAAAGAAAGCGUAAUAGCUCACUGGUCGAGUCGGCCUGCGCGGAAGAUGUAACGGGGCUAAACCAUGCACCGAAGCUGCGGCAGCGACACUAUGUGUUGUUGGGUAGGGGAGCGUUCUGUAAGCCUGUGAA